This 372-nucleotide ribosomal RNA is filed under the name uncultured organism. Its description in RNAcentral is "bacterial SSU rRNA". It matches the Rfam family "Bacterial small subunit ribosomal RNA", at positions 526 to 896 of the family's 1533-position model. The record is from RNAcentral.
CGAAGGUGGCAAGCGUUACUCGGAAUUACUAGGCGUAAAGGGCAGGUAGGUGGUUUGAUAAGUCUGCUGUGAAAGCUCCUGGCUCAACUGGGAGAGGCCAGCAGAUACUGUCAGGCUUGAGUAUGAGAGAGGGUACUGGAAUUCCCGGUGUAGCGGUGAAAUGCGCAGAUAUCGGGAGGAACACCGAUGGCGAAAGCAGGUACCUGGACCAUUACUGACACUAAGCUGCGAAAGCUAAGGGAGCAAACAGGAUUAGAUACCCUGGUAGUCUUAGCUGUAAACGAUGCACAUUAGGCGUGGGAGGUAUCGACCCCUCCUGUGCCGACGCUAACGCAUUAAAUGUGCCGCCUGGGGAGUACGGCCGCAAGGUUG